RNAcentral lists this long non-coding RNA (1540 nucleotides) under Mus caroli (Ryukyu mouse). RNAcentral's name for it is "POU domain, class 3, transcription factor 3 adjacent noncoding transcript 1 (MGP_CAROLIEiJ_G0004361.1)". Lineage: Eukaryota; Metazoa; Chordata; Mammalia; Rodentia; Muridae. The record is from RNAcentral.
GAGUUUGGAGGGUGCCGGUCAACGAAGCCACGCGAGGUAUUUGAAAGGCAAUCAGCCCGACCGUCCCCCUAGAUUCAUCGUUUGCGAGGUGGCUGUGACCGCUGGCGACAAGUGCUUUCUCAGCCGCAACCCAGCUGAAAGAGUUAAGGGUCCGGGAGGAGGAGUGCGCCCGGUAGGCGGGAGAAGAGGGGGUGGGGUGGGGUGUGUGUGUGUGUGGGGGGGGGACUCGGCCAAGCGGAAACGCCGCACAGAGGAACCUCAGCGAACCAAGAAAAAAGAGAAAGUGGCAACGAAAACAAGGACAAAUUAAAUCCUCCUUGGGGAUUUCCAAUGAACUAACCCAAUUCGGACAUUCAAUAAAUACAGGACUCUUAAUGAGUGUGCGUGUGCUUGCACCCCGCACCCUCAGCUGCAGGGCACCGGCCCGCAGUCUGCAGUUCCCAGCCCAAGCAGCAGCCGAGAACCCGGCGGCCGGUGUGCUCCGAACGUAAAGAACUGGCCUGCCUUCUCCCCGAUGCAUAAUUUCUCUAGAGAGCUCACUUCUGUGAACUCAGUUACAGAGGGAGCUCUCCAGCUCAGCAGCAGCCUCGCAGCCUCUGCGUGAUCUCGAGAUUAACCGUAGACGCGAGGCAUUUAUGUAGGAUCGGGUCCAGCUCCUGCUUGCUGGGGUGAAAAGAUACCAUCGUAGAAACAGAUCUAAAAGGCAGUAGUAACCAAAGCCCCAAAACAGAACGGAUUCCCCCCUCCAUUCCAAAAGGUUCCUUUUUAUAUUUAUAUAUGCGUAUAUGUAUAUAUAAAAGAUGGAACACAGAUUUCAUUGAAUAAAUCUGAGAUCUCCAGGUGCAGACGUUUGAAUAGUCGGUGCCAGCACCCCGUGUUUUCCUUUCCUGCCGAUUUUGCUUGGAUCCGGCUCAAAAACCGAAAGAGUCUCGUGGUUUUGUUUACACUGAAUGGGGAGGAUAGGAACAGAGCCAUGGGGCCGCCUUUCAUUAAUAUACAGUGAGGAUUUUGUCUAAAUUACUGCUAUGAGUUUCACAGUACACGCUUUCAAAAGCCGUCUCAGGUGGCCUGAUGAAACGGGAUAGCGCCUCAGCAAACAGAUCCACUUUCUCUCUUUGCAAGGAGGGUGUGCACGUUCGGGAAGCCCCCCAAACGCUGUGCUCCUCAAUAACAGAAACGCACUUCUGUUCCCAGGUCUGUCCCCUUCUCUUCCCCCACCCCCCACGUACUUAGUUCUCAAAUCGCUCCCCAGCUCCCCCCCCCCAACUCCCGCCCCACCCAAUCCUCCCCCUCCCUCUGCGGAGUGUGAUUGUUUUGUCUGGAAAAAAAAAUCCAAAGUAUAUAACAAGGGGAGAACAGUUAGUGCUGAUUUUCAUUUGCAUACAUUUUCAUAUAUUUUGGUGAAAAUAAUAGAGGAGAGAGAACCGGGCUUAGAGGAGUCAGUGUAAAGAGAAGGCUAAGGAUAACUCGACUCUGGAGAGUAGAGAAUAUGCCUUCUCUUCUGCCCCUCCAGGAACCUUACUUUUUUUUUUUUUUAAAC